AUUGCUUCUCGGCCUUUUGGCUAAGAUCAAGUGUAGAAAGUGAAUUCCAUAGCUUCAGGAUGUGGAGUUCUAAAUAUAUCUGUCAAGUCCAUCUGGUCCAAUGUCUCAUUUAGGGCCAUUAUUAUUAUUAUUAUUAAUUUAUUUUUUAGCAAUUCUCUGUCUAGUUGAUCUAGUCAUUGCUGUAAGUGGAGUAUUAAAGUCUCCUGCAAUUAGCACAUUCUUA
Molecule: small nuclear RNA, 223 nt
Filed under: Suricata suricatta (meerkat)
Lineage: Eukaryota; Metazoa; Chordata; Mammalia; Carnivora; Herpestidae
Description: U2 spliceosomal RNA (ENSSSUG00005000123.1)
Rfam family: U2 spliceosomal RNA
About the family: U2 is a small nuclear RNA (snRNA) component of the spliceosome (involved in pre-mRNA splicing). Complementary binding between U2 snRNA (in an area lying towards the 5' end but 3' to hairpin I) and the branchpoint sequence (BPS) of the intron results the bulging out of an unpaired adenosine, on the BPS, which initiates a nucleophilic attack at the intronic 5' splice site, thus starting the first of two transesterification reactions that mediate splicing.
Source: Rfam by way of RNAcentral